Thalassophryne amazonica is the source of this 1737-nucleotide long non-coding RNA. RefSeq lists it as uncharacterized. The record is from RefSeq and is a predicted model, not a curated record. The transcript is spliced from 2 exons. NCBI's taxonomy places the organism in Eukaryota, Metazoa, Chordata, Actinopteri, Batrachoidiformes, Batrachoididae.
AAAAGCAUAAAAAAAUUACAUUUUUGUAGUAUAAUAUUCAUUUACAAUUGUCAUUAUGUGGAUUCUCUAUGUUGUUUGACUGCAGCGACUCUCUGGCGUGCAAGGGAUUAUGGGAUACGUCAGUAGGGCGAAUAUCCAGUUCUUAUAAUACAUAGAUGUUUUAGACAUAUGAUCUGUGGUAUUUUACACUUUGAUAUUCUUUGUCUUCCUGUUAAAUGCACAGUUUUCUCAAAUUUGCUGAUUUAUAGAAAAGAAACAGUCUAGAAAUUCAGGAAGUUGUUGCCUCAUUGACUCUGAUUGUUUGCGUAAUGUCUCACUUUGCAAUAUUUUGUCUAAAUGAUCACCCAGGCUACACAUGCUGUACACAAAUGUCAGUGUUAACACUGCAGCAAGUGGAUAGAGUCCCCUUUCACAACAGUGAUAAUUCAGGUGAAUUUGAGUUCAACAUUACAAGAGCGAAUUUCUACCAUGAGAGAGUUAAAUGAUUAGGUCCAUAUGCAUGUGCUGCAGUGUUAAUUUGACACUGCACAAUACAGUAGUUGGUAAAAGUGUUAAUUCUGUCCCUCUGAGUCAGACAGUUAAAGCUUUUACGGUUAAAUAUGAGCAUGCAUUCUGUUGUUGAAAUAUAAUGUCCAUUUUUAUUUAGAUGCAAAAAAAUCUCCCCUUUAUACCCAUGAGUAGCCACUUGUGUUUAUUGCCAAUUAAACAUAGACUAACUGCACAUAUCAUGACUACAGUCAAGGCCUUUGCAGAUGACACUGAGAUAUUUUUACUUACUUUACACUAUCAUGUGCUUUUGCCUGCAACAGUUUUUUUCUUUUGGUACAAUUUCUCUGAAAAUGUAAGCCAUGCAGUGUGUGUGAGACUUUUUAAAGACGCACAUGAUCAAAAUAUACGUACAGUUUGAAAAAAAAGUUCAAAUCCAAUUUUUCUCCAAAUCCACACAUUUCAUGUUACCACUGUUAAAAUGCUUACUUUACCUGGUUAUAAUACUUAAAAUAUUUAUUUCAGAUUUUAUUCAUAUUUUAUCACAUUAUGAUGGACAUCUGAAUAUUGCACCAUAUAAUUAGCAGAAAUUGUCAGUGCUUAGACUUUCAAAGUUUUUACCAACGGUGUAUGCAAGUGACAUGGAUAGCCUUGUCUGCAGAUGUUUCUUCCAGACGUUAUCAGCUGUUCUUCCUGCUGACUAAAGCCUUGCUUGUAGUUAAGCCAAAAGGUUUCAGUAUUGUUCUCCAGCCAAGAUGAUCUGGCAUAAGAGUUAAAAAAACCACAAGUCUUUUCAGGUCAUUUGCUGGACUACCAACAUUUUUUAUACUUGUCUUGUAUGUGUAUCUGAUAAUUCUAAGUGCCUCUUGUAUUUUUUAUGUUUAACUGUAUGUCAUAAGGAGCUUCUGUACAUCUUGAUUUGUGUACAUUUUAAUAUGCACGUUAUUUGUAUUAGUUAUCUUGAGUAUGAUUAUCAAUCUCGAUAAUGACAUCCAUGAGACAUUUACUGUAAUUGUUAUGGAGAAUAGGUUAUAUAAUACUUGAAACUUUGUUUAUAUCUCCUUUAAUCAAUAAAAUGUUGUCAGAUGAUUAUUUUAGCAGCUGCCUUUUGAACAUGCCACUGUUUGCCAGCAUUCAUGCUACAGUUAAUAACUGGGCGACAACAGCUGGACCUUUGCACCCUCAUGCCCUCAAAUGUGAAAAUUGCCACAGUACAUUCAAAUAAAAAUAUAUAUAGAUAUGCAUUAAAAA